UGGCGGACGGGUGAGUAAUGUCUGGGAAACUGCCCGAUGGAGGGGGAUAACUACUGGAAACGGUAGCUAAUACCGCAUAACGUCGCAAGACCAAAGAGGGGACCUUCGGGCCUCUUGCCAUCGGAUGUGCCCAGAUGGGAUUAGCUAGUAGGUAAGGUAACGGCUUACCUAGGCGACGAUCCCUAGCUGGUCUGAGAGGAUGACCAGCCACACUGGAACUGAGACACGGUCCAG
Molecule: ribosomal RNA, 234 nt
Filed under: uncultured bacterium
Lineage: Bacteria
Description: partial 16S ribosomal RNA
Rfam family: Bacterial small subunit ribosomal RNA
Source: RNAcentral